UGACUUGUAUCUUUAAUCUUCGGA
Molecule: non-coding RNA, 24 nt
Filed under: Arabidopsis thaliana (thale cress)
Lineage: Eukaryota; Viridiplantae; Streptophyta; Magnoliopsida; Brassicales; Brassicaceae
Source: RNAcentral